UAGGGAAUAUUGGACAAUGGGGGCAACCCUGAUCCAGCCAUGCCGCGUGAGUGAAGAGGGCCCUCGGGUUGUAAAGCUCUUUUGUCCGGAAAGAAAAGCAUUCGGUGAAUACCCGGAUGUUCUGACGGUACCGGAAGAAUAAGCACCGGCUAACUUCGUGCCAGCAGCCGCGGUAAUACGAAGGGUGCAAGCGUUACUCGGAAUUACUGGGCGUAAAGCGUGCGUAGGUGGUUGUUUAAGUCUGAUGUGAAAGCCCUGGGCUCAACCUGGGAAUGGCAUUGGAAACUGGGCAGCUAGAGUGCGGUAGAGGGUAGUGGAAUUCCCGGUGUAGCAGUGAAAUGCGUAGAGAUCGGGAGGAGCAUCUGUGGCGAAGGCGACUGCCUGGACCAGCACUGACACUGAGGCACGAAAGCGUGGGGAGCAAACA
Molecule: ribosomal RNA, 427 nt
Filed under: uncultured bacterium
Lineage: Bacteria
Description: bacterial SSU rRNA
Rfam family: Bacterial small subunit ribosomal RNA
Source: RNAcentral